This 84-nucleotide transfer RNA is filed under the name Dallia pectoralis (Alaska blackfish). RNAcentral's name for it is "tRNA-OTHER". It matches the Rfam family "tRNA". From Rfam's summary of the family: Transfer RNA (tRNA) molecules are approximately 80 nucleotides in length. The record is from RNAcentral. Lineage: Eukaryota; Metazoa; Chordata; Actinopteri; Esociformes; Umbridae.
GUCAGGACGGCCGAGUGGUCUAAGGCGCCAGACUCAAGUUCUGGUCUCCAUAUGGAGGCGUGGGUUCAAAUCCCACUUCUGACA